This 71-nucleotide transfer RNA is filed under the name Xylobanus sp. UPOL 000379. RNAcentral describes it as "tRNA-Glu". The record is from RNAcentral. Lineage: Eukaryota; Metazoa; Arthropoda; Insecta; Coleoptera; Lycidae.
AUUUCUAAUUUAUAUAGUUUAAAAAAAACAUUACUUUUUCAUUGUAAAAUUAAUUAAUAUUUAUUUUAUAA